CCAAGGCCUGGGCGGCGCUGGAGGCGACAGCCGACUGGGGUUCGGCGGGCUGGCCAGGGCCACCGAGGGGCCCGGUACGACGCCGCGGGGCUGGGGC
This 97-nucleotide transfer RNA is filed under the name Streptomyces canarius. RNAcentral describes it as "tRNA-Pro(ggg)". The record is from RNAcentral. Lineage: Bacteria; Bacillati; Actinomycetota; Actinomycetes; Kitasatosporales; Streptomycetaceae.